RNAcentral lists this ribosomal RNA (497 nucleotides) under uncultured bacterium. RNAcentral describes it as "partial 16S ribosomal RNA". It matches the Rfam family "Bacterial small subunit ribosomal RNA", at positions 28 to 507 of the family's 1533-position model. The record is from RNAcentral.
GAUGAACGCUGGCGGCGUGCCUAAUACAUGCAAGUCGAGCGAACGGACGAGAAGCUUGCUUCUCUGAUGUUAGCGGCGGACGGGUAAGUAACACGUGGAUAACCUACCUAUAAGACUGGGAUAACUUCGGGACACCGGAGCUAAUACCGGAUAAUAUUUUGAACCGCAUGGUUCAAAAGUGAAAGACGGUCUUGCUGUCACUUAUCGAUGGAUCCGCGCUGCAUUAGCUAGUUGGUAAGGUAACGGCUUACCAAGGCAACGAUGCGUAGCCGACCUGAGAGGGUGAUCGGCCACACUGGAACUGAGACACGGUCCAGACUCCUACGGGAGGCAGCAGUAGGGAAUCGUCCGCAAUGGGCGAAAGCCUGACGGAGCAACGCCGCGUGAGUGAUGAAGGUCUUCGGAUCGUAAAACUCUGUUAUUAGGGAAGAACAUAUGUGUAAUUAACUGUGCACAUCUUGACGGUACCUAAUCAGAAAGCCACGGCUAACUACGUG